Molecule: long non-coding RNA, 1763 nt
Filed under: Zea mays
Lineage: Eukaryota; Viridiplantae; Streptophyta; Magnoliopsida; Poales; Poaceae
Description: long non-coding RNA (ZMAY_LNC001208)
Source: RNAcentral
CCACUUCUGUUGAUGUUCUUUUAUAACCAUGACUACUCUGCAGUCUGUUUUAACCUGGACAUUUGUAUUCCUUUUUGGCCCUUUCUCGCUCCCCUGAUGUUCUAUGCAAUUAUCUUGUUCCUGCUGAUCAGCUUUUUUUGUUUUUCCAUGCUUGUUACAUUUCAGCUCCACCUUUGUAACCUCAUUGUUUCUUUUUUUGUUGGAAGUUCUGAAAGUGUGGGUGAUUGCUGGUUUAAAACCAGCCAAAAACCCAUAGAAGAAUAAGAAGUGCUCUGCAUCUCCCCUGGUCUUAAAUUCCAUCCCAACUUGAGGUGUAUAUUUGCUGUCUAUUGGUGCAUUGUUUCCUUCUAAUGCAGCUAUCUGCUCACUCAUAAUGAAGGCAUCGAUCUGAUCCUCUGUUAACUCUUCUUCACUUCCAUCUGUUUUUUUAAAUUCUGCAGCAUCAAAGUUUUCACGAGCACUUGAUGUUUCAACUGCCCUUCCAUCUACAUUUGGUGCACAAUCAGGUAGUUGUUCUACAUGCAUUCCUUCAAAGAGAUCUCUGUGGUAUACUGCUUCACCAUAUUUAGAUGCACCGGCUUCAAUGCAUCCCCCAAAUGUCUCCUACAUAAAUACCCGUUAUUUUUGUUAGUUGUUAGUUUAUUUUUUUAUUUUGUUUUGUUCUCAAAUGUGUAUUUGUCUGCAUGAUCAGAUCAUUUGGAGUUUUCGAGAUGGAUGAUUUCGUACCUCGGCGUAUGCACUUGAACAUCCAUCCACUUCAAAAUUCUUGUAUGUAUUCUCCUCUGAGUUAUGCUGCAUAUGUUUAUUGCUUUUUCCCAAGCUCCACACCUUUCCUUGGACAUGUUUGCAUCUGCAAGCAGGGUGUCGCUCUCAAGAAUCAUUUGUGUGUAUGUCUCCCAUGGCUUUUCUAGUGUGGUGUUGUUCAUGGUUUCAUUUUGUGUGUCCAUGCCACUAUGCAUUUCAUUGCAUUCAUCACUUGCUGAUUCUCCUUGUGAGUUACGUAUCUGUUCCAUCAUCAGGUCCAUGUAUCCCCCCUGCAUAAUCAUCAAGGCUCAAUCAAAUAUUCAUAUUAUAUUUUCUGUGAUAGGUGCAUAUUAUUUUGUGUGUGUGUAGGGUGGCUGGGGUUUUCGUGCAUUUUUUAUUACCUGGUUUGACACAUAUGGGAACGACAUUUGUGUGCACAUCUGACUGCUUGGUGAUUGUGUUGUUCCACUCUGAGUCAAAGAGGUUCCAGCCAUCUAUAUUUUUGUUUAUGCAUUCAUAAAAAUCACAAAAGUCAGUUUUCAAACAUGUGAAUAGAUUAUCUUUCUCAAUUGUAAUUUCUAGAAUUGAGAUAUAGCUACCUGACUACUUCCAAUUAUUCGCAAUAUAUACUGUUGAAAAUUGUUGAUUUCAUCUUGCGAGAAUAUGUUAUUUUCUCUGACAGUCUUGGUAGUGUCAUAUUCAUGAACCUGCAAAAGGGAAACAAAAUUAUGAUCAGUUGUUUUUUUUGCAUUGGCACAUAAAUUUAGGUGCCCAUGGCUUUGUUCUAUAUGAUGUUUUUUUGCAGCAAAGGCAGUAGAUCACUUUUUUGGGGUGAUGUAGGAGGAGCUUUUUUAAGAGGCCAUGCAUGUUAUGACUUUUUUUUGAAUUUGUUUUUGCAGACCUUGUUUAUGGACAUAUAGCUAGACGAAAUGCAGGUAUGUUACCGCUGCUUUUUUAUCUCUUAUCAUUGUCCUAUGCAAUUCAUUUUUUUGUUGUGGCAGCUGUUGUGCUCUAGUCAU